RNAcentral lists this ribosomal RNA (371 nucleotides) under uncultured bacterium. RNAcentral's name for it is "bacterial SSU rRNA". It matches the Rfam family "Bacterial small subunit ribosomal RNA", at positions 525 to 896 of the family's 1533-position model. The record is from RNAcentral.
ACGAAGGGUGCUAGCGUUGUUCGGAAUGACUGGGCGUAAAGGGUGCGUAGGCGGCCAGAAGCGUCUGAUGUGAAAUCCCUGGGCUUAACCUAGGAACUGCAUUGGAUACGGUCUGGCUAGAGUCCGCGAGAGGAAGAUGGAAUUGUGCGUGUAGAGGUGAAAUUCGUAGAUAUGCACAAGAACACCGGUGGCGAAGGCGAUCUUCUGGAGCGGUACUGACGCUAAGGCACGAAAGUGUGGGGAGCAAACAGGAUUAGAUACCCUGGUAGUCCACACUGUAAACGAUGAAUGUUAGAUGUCGGGGAGGUUACUCUUCGGUAUCGCAGCUAACGCAUUAAACAUUCCGCCUGGGGAGUACGGUCGCAAGAUUA